RNAcentral lists this transfer RNA (67 nucleotides) under Obrimoposthia wandeli. RNAcentral's name for it is "tRNA-Val". Lineage: Eukaryota; Metazoa; Platyhelminthes; Tricladida; Uteriporidae. The record is from RNAcentral.
AGAUAUAUAGUAUAAACAAAUAUUUUUAAUUUACGUUUAAAAGAUAGACUUUAAAGUUUUUUAUCUU